This 438-nucleotide unclassified non-coding RNA is filed under the name Hevea brasiliensis (rubber tree). Lineage: Eukaryota; Viridiplantae; Streptophyta; Magnoliopsida; Malpighiales; Euphorbiaceae. The record is from RNAcentral.
AAAUCAUUGCAAAAAAAUGACUAUUCACCCCUUCAAUUCAUGAUAAAGGCGUUCGCGGCGGGAGUGAUCUUAGCCACAGGGUUUAUACACAUUCUACCAGAUGCAUUUGAGAGCUUGACUAGUCCUUGUCUUAGUGAAGAUUUGUGGGGGAGUUUUCCAUUUGCUGGGUUUGUUGCAAUGAUGUCUGCUAUAUUUACUUUGAUGAUGGAGUCAUUUGCAAGUGGCUAUCAUAGAAGAGCUGAAUUGAGAAAAGCUCAGCCAGUCAAUAUUGGAGAUGAACAAGGACAAGAUGAGCAUAUUGAUCAUGGUCCACAAAUUUUGCUAGAAAGAUCUGAUUCUUCAAGUCUUAUGAGACAUAGAUUAAUAUCGCAGGUUUUGGAAUUGGGAAUUUUGGUUCAUUCUGUGAUUAUUGGGAUUUCCCUUGGAACUACAGAAAAU